CUUUUUGGAGAGUUUGAUCCUGGCUCAGGACGAACGCUGGCGGCGUGCCUAAUACAUGCAAGUCGAGCGGAUCUCU
RNAcentral lists this ribosomal RNA (76 nucleotides) under Metabacillus mangrovi. RNAcentral describes it as "partial 16S ribosomal RNA". It matches the Rfam family "Bacterial small subunit ribosomal RNA", at positions 1 to 75 of the family's 1533-position model. Lineage: Bacteria; Bacillati; Bacillota; Bacilli; Caryophanales; Bacillaceae. The record is from RNAcentral.